RNAcentral lists this long non-coding RNA (2245 nucleotides) under Sus scrofa (pig). RNAcentral's name for it is "lncRNA (ENSSSCG00035069363.1)". The record is from RNAcentral. Lineage: Eukaryota; Metazoa; Chordata; Mammalia; Artiodactyla; Suidae.
AAGAGAAAUGAAUAUAUGAAGAUACCUUCUCCGGAAAGUAUUUAAAAAAACCUCUGUUGCAAACAGGAAAGAAAAACAAGGAGAGAAAUGUAUAGGAAAAAACACUGAAGGGGCAAAAACAGAAGCCCACGUACAUUAGACUGGACUUCUGAUGGGCAGAGCUCUCUCUCCAUUCAGGAAACACCCUGUGAACAGCGGCUGUGUAAAGCAUGUCCAGGGGCUGGAGUUUGAAGGUACCAAGCCUCUAGGGACCUAGAUUCCAGUUGCAACGCAUGACCCAUGUGUAUAAAUAGCCCGUCUGUAAGUACAAGGACGCAUGUGUUAAAUACCAUCAUCAAGCUACCUAUACUGUGCACUGGCAGCCUGUAAGACAGAAGCAGUUCUGAGGAAGAGGGGUUUGGGAAAUCCUUGCAGAAAGACAUACAAACCACUAGAUACCCCACCGCCUCCACCCCAACCCCCACCCCAGACUUCCCACACCUAUUCCUUUGCUUUCUUUUUCUCUUUGGUGCUUAUGGCUGACAUUCUCACAUGCUGCUGAUUUUGCCUAUCUUGUUUCCUGCCUGCCUCCCCUACAAGACUGCAAACUCCACGAGGGCAAAAGUGGUCUUUUUUGGUCAGGGCUGAAUCCCCAGUCUCUCAAGGAGUAGCUGGCACAUUGUCAGCACUCAUUCAGUAUUUGUUGAAUGAAUCAAUUGGAUAAUUAAUCAGGACACAAGGAAAUUGAGCUCAGCCAUAAUGGAGCAGAGGGGCUUGGCAGGUGUGCGCUAGAGGGCGGGGUGUUCCAGGCAGGUGGAACCAGGGUGGAUGCUCAGGGCCUGGCCAUCCACGUGUAGGCUGCUGUGGCAAAGGGAAGGCUGAGGAAUUUCUUGCUAAGAGUUCCCAUUGGGGCUCAGGGUUAAGGAACCUGACUAGAAUGCAUAAGGAUGUGGGUCCUGUCCCUGGCCUCGCUCAGUGAGUUAAAGAUCCAGCAUUGCCAUGAGCUGUGGUAUAGGUUGCAGAUGUGGCUCAGAUCCUGCAUUGCUGUGGCUGUGGCAUAGGCCGGCAGCUACAACUCCAAUUGGACCCCUGGCCUGGGAAAUUCUAUAUACCCUAAAAAAAACAACAGGAAAAUAAUACACAAUGUUAGAAAGGCCCCUGUAAUUCCUGUAUUACCUAACAUUUGAUUAACUGCACAUUCACCAAUAAUUCUGACUCUUUUACUAUAGCAACAAGCAUUUCAUUCCUCAUUUUCUCUUUCUGGUACAGGAAGGGUAAAACUCUAAAUGUUGGUGUCUUUUAUGUUCUUCUCCCUUGGCCAGUGGUGCCUAAGGUCAACAGGAGGCCUGGGAAACUCAGUGGCAUUUGUGGCACUUGUGACACAGGAGCUUUAUGCCUAGGGAAUGAAUCAGGAAUUUCUUGCUCUAAUUUUCAGCUUCCCGUAUGUGUAGGGGGCCUUUCUUUUCUCAAACUUCAUGUGCUGAGAUUUAAAAAAAAAAAGUCCACCUUGCAGCUGCCAGCGGCUGCUUUGUAGAAGUGUGGGAACCUCACACAGAGAUACAGAGCUGUUCCUAGAAGCCCGGCAGGACCUCUCUUUCCUGUCCUUUGCCAGAAAAGAAGCAGCCCCCAGGGUUGGGUUCCUGUAUCCUCUUCCCAGAGCUGGGGCAGGAGGCUGGACCCUGCCUGCUCUGAGGAAACUUGCCCCCUGGUCUGGGAUGUGUGGUUUAAUCUCUAUUCAGCCUUCAUUGUUAAGGGGUGGGGGUGGGGGUCUGGGCCGAGACUCCAUGCCACACCCACCCUGAUGGAGCUUCUCCAAGGCCCUGAGAGUCCAGCCCUCUGUAAGGGAAUAUAAUUUUAGAUAAAGAGGGCAACCUCUUAACUCUGGGAAAUCUCUUAAGGUCAGAACACAGCCCCGCCCAUACCUGACUUCUGGCUGUGAAGGUGGAGGCAGCAGAGGAGACCUUUGUCCUAAAUUGUCUCCUUUGUCUCAUAUUCUCCUUCAGGCAAACUGGAGAGGCCAGAAUUCCUGUCAUGGCACAGUGGUUAACGAAUCCGACUAAGAACCCUGAGGUUAAGGGUUCGAUCCCUGCCCUUGCUCAGUGGGUUAAGGAUCCGGCAUGGCCCUGAGCUGUGGUGUAGGUCGCAGACGUGGCUCAGAUCCUACGUUGCUGUGGCUGUGGCGUAGGCCAGAGGCUACAGCUCCGAUUCGACCCCUAGCCUGGGAACCUCCAUAUGCCGCAGGAGCGGCCCAAAAAAUGGCAAAAAG